CUAAUAAUUUUAACGAGUAAAGUCCAAAAAUGUUAAUUUUAAAUAUAGGAAUUUAUUUUAAAAAUUAUUUAUAUGUAAAGUUAGUGAUUUUAAAUAUAUUUGAUAAGUUACUAGAAUGCCAUAUUGAUUUCUAUCUACAAUUCAUCCAAUGAACGAAGUCGCUGCUAUAUAUGGGGAACAGUUAAAUAAUAAUUUCAAAAUACUGAAUUGGUUAACGUUAAUUUUUCUCUGAUCGUCUACCGUAAUAGGAACGUGAUUGUUAUUUUGAAUAUGUUAUAGAACAUGUUAGAAUGGUCUCAAUCGUGUACAAACAAAAGGAUAUUCUACAAGCAAAUUUUCACGGAUGUCAAUUCAAUGGAACUCACAUAUACAUAGAGAUAAUUUUGCAGACAUCAUAUUUAUGUAAUUUUAAUAUCUCAUCAACUUUAAAUGUUUUUUCUGAAAUUUUAUUUUAUUCUAUUAAGAGAUUCGAACUGUUCGUAUAAAGUGGCGAGAUGACAAGUGAAGACUUCAAAAAUAUAACGAUGGAAAUGAUGCUGGAGAUUAUUCUUGCGACCACUAGUGAAAUAAUACUAAAAUACUUAGCAGUGUGCUUGGUAGAGUGGCGUGCAUGAUCUGAAGGAGAUUUCGCGUUGAUGUCAAGCUAUCAUUGAUAGUAACAUAAAAGUUGCAGUAUAAUAUUCAAAAUGAAUCCGAAAAAGUCUGAAACACAAAAGUGUGUACGAGAAAUUACCCUUCGACUGCAUAAAGAUGGGAAAUCAUAUAGUGAAAUAGCAAAAAUUGUAAACAAAAGUAAAUCUAUAUUAUAUCAUAAACAAAUCAAAAACUUGUUCAGAUCGAGCAAGAAAAUUAACUGAAAAAGAACAAAAAAUUAUUAUUCUCGAAGUAAAAAAAUUCUAUAUCUGUACCUAUACUUUCAAGUAUGAUAUUGGAAAUGUUUGACAAAGAUGUUCAUCCCCAAUUAUGUCGACGAAAUAUUAAUUUUCAUGAUAGAGUAACAAGAAAAAAGAAAAAUCAAAUCAAAAGAAGAGAUUUUUGUAACAAAGGUUAAUACAUCUUGGGAAUGUAUUUUCUGGUAUUUUUAACUCGGAUGGACGAAAGACCAAAUACGAAAUUGGACAUUCAAAAUAUACCGCUAUUGUGUUUAUAUAUAUCAACUUUUUCGCUACAAGCGUGUCGAGAAAGAUUGUCGGAGGCCUUUUACGCAUCAUUGCAACUCGAAUUAUUUUGAUGAUGUAUUGAAAAAAAACUUCUAACACACUCAUUUUUAAUUGUUUUAUGUAAUUAUCUAAUAACGUUACAAAAUAUAAUAAUGUAAUAUAAUUGUAUGAUAAUAAUAAUUGUUAAUAAUAAUAUUGCAUGUGACAUUGUUCGAAA
Molecule: long non-coding RNA, 1377 nt
Organism: Apis cerana (Asiatic honeybee)
Lineage: Eukaryota; Metazoa; Arthropoda; Insecta; Hymenoptera; Apidae
Source: RefSeq, a predicted model, not a curated record